This is a long non-coding RNA of Globicephala melas (long-finned pilot whale), 4636 nucleotides long. RefSeq lists it as uncharacterized. The record is from RefSeq and is a predicted model, not a curated record. NCBI's taxonomy places the organism in Eukaryota, Metazoa, Chordata, Mammalia, Artiodactyla, Delphinidae.
GCCGGGAAGGAGAGUUGUAGGAAAAUAAAACAGCAUUAGGGCCAUUUCACGUUAGCAGCGACAGAGUAGUCCCUUCUCAGGUGAAUGAGGCAAGGAGCAGAGGCAUGUAAGACAGGCGGGGCAACUGUCAUGCAAAUGGACGAAACCCCGGGAAGGUGCUACUCAGCCGGCGGGCGUAAUCCUACCUUUAGCGAACGUGAAAGCGGGGAAAGCCGUAAAGCAGGCUGCGGGAAGCUGCAAAGCAGGCGCGGGGAAGCCGCAAAGUAGGCGUCGCAAACAUACCUCUGAUCAGGAAGCCGGGGGAGCUACUAGGCCGUGGCCCAAACGUACCGUUGCGGAUUCGACUCACGGUUCUCUACCAGGUUUCAUCCAUAUCCUUUGAUGAAUCCUCUCUGGCAUCUUCAGCAUCCAUGGCAACAAUGAAACACAUAAGCCAAUAUCAUACCAUGAAGAGCUGGCAAGGAUUUCAAGCCCGGGAGGUAGCAGCAUCUCAAGUAACCCUGAGAGAACUGCUCCAAGGAGGCGAGGGCGCAGCCGCGGCUACUUUGCAGCGGGUUCGGGCCAGGCCCAGCCUGCGGCAGCAACAGCGGGUCUCGGACCGACCGUGAGCCUGGGGAGUUUGUCUCCAACGACUGCGGGUGCAGCGGCCUGAGUUCUAAGCGCAGAUCUCUUACCUCCUGACAUCUAAUCCAUGUGUCCCCACAGCAAUCUCCCCAGCUCCUUGCCUGUGAAACUUCAUGAUAGGUUAUAACAGGGAAAUGAAGGGACUAACCUCACCAAAAUGGCAUAAUGACUAUUGAAACUGAGACCAUCUGAACAAACAGCAGCUGCUGGGAAAAAAAAAAAACACUAAAAAACCAAAAAAUUUUCUCUGAACUUCCCUUUGAUAAGUAAAGCAGGUCUUUCUAAGUAUUCAGCUGCUGUAAGCCCUCUCUUGCAUCAGGACCUGCCAAGGAACUGCGUAAAUACAUCCUGGGAGAACCUUCCAUACUUUCCCACUGAGGCCUUAAUACUGUUCCCCACCCCACCCCCAUCCUAUUAAGCUGGUAUAUAAAUCCUUACUCCCUACAGCAUGCUCUUGCCUACAUGUAUAAUAAUCUUGGCUCCUAUUAAUCUGUCUGUUAAUUCACAGGCCCCCAAGUACUUCACCCUAAGUUGGUAAAGAAAAAGUUUUCGUCCCAGUAACACUUUUUAAACUUUUCUUGAUACACCAGAGAAUGUGUUCAAAUACAUAAGGGAAUUUGGAAACCUUGAUUUUGUUGGAAGGUGAAAGAAUCCAGUGUACAUGUACACAGGCUCUGUAGAAAUCCUUUUAAAUUUGACUCAAACUGUGUUUAAUAACUGACUGAAAACUUUCUUUUUAUUUCCCUUAGGGAGAAAGCUGUAGACCAUUUAAUCUGGGAUGAUCUGCUGUACUCUCCUGAUUUCCCGUGAGCAUUUAAUCUACGGUCUAAAGGGUCGUUUGUCUGGUAUGAGUUGUAGCUGUCUUAUGAUUAUGGGCAGCAGCAGCGAGGGGGGCUGUAGGGACCAAGUGGAGGUAGCAUUUAUCGUAUUGCACGUGUCACUCCGUUGCUCCUGUCCUUACAUUAUUCCAUUUAGUUCUCACACAGUGUUCUUCCCGUUUUACAGAUGAAUAAAUUGGAAGGGUAGAUAACUUGCUAAAGAUUAUGCCAUUACUGGGACUUCCUGGUGGUCCAGUGGUUAAGACUCCGCACUCCCAAUACAGGGUGCACGGGUUCAAUCCCUGGUUGGGGAACUAAGAUCCCACGUGCCGUGCAGCACAGCCAAAAAAAAAAAAAGACUAUACCAUUACUGAAAAUAAGAGCAAGAUGCAGAACUGGUAUCGAGUGUGCAACCUUUCAUAGAGCAGAGGAAAGAAGAAAAAAUACACAGUCAUUCCUUGGAGAUAUUGCGGGUUUGGUUCCAGACCACUGCAAUAAAGGGAGUCGCACAAAUAUUUUGGUCUCCCUGUGUAAAUAAAAGUUAUGUUUCCACUAUACUGUAGUUUAUUAAGUAUGCAGUAGCAACAUAUCUAAACAACAAUGCACAUCCCUUUAUUAAAAAUAGUUUCUUGCUAGAAAAUGCUAACCAUCACCUGAGCCUUCAUUAAGUCAAUCUUUUUUGCAAUAGUGACUUCACAGAUCACCGUAAGAAAUAUAAUAAUAAUGAAAACGUUUGAAAUAUUGCGAGAGUUGCCAAAAUGUGACACAGAUGCAAAGUGAGCAAAUGCUGUUGGAAAAAUAGAACCAACAGACUUGCUCCACACAGGGUUGCCACAAACCGUCAAUUUGUAAAAUAUGCAGUAUCUGCAAAGUGCAAUAAAGUGAAGCAAUAAAACGAGGUAUGCCUGUAUGUAUACGUACAUAUACUUAGCUUUGCAAAAAGACAACUGAAAGUUGAAUAUAAGCGAACUAAUGAACAUUAUAGCAAAUUGACAACUUCACAUAGAGAAAAUUAUUUCAAAAGUUAUUUCAAGCUGUGCCGAAAAAUGAACAGUAUUCUGGGUACAUCCUUAGAGGUGGGUUUAUUGUUCAUAGUGAUAUUGGUAUCAAAAGAAGAUAAAAUAUGGAAACUGUUCCAGUGGUACAGGGCAUAGUAAGAGGGGGGGGCUCCUGAGCAGAAGUCCUCUAUUGUUCCUUUCCUGUGUGUGUAAGCAAACAGUAGUUAAACUCUUGCACUGAAACUAGAGAAACCAUUAAAAGAUGAGCGUUCUGCUUUCAGUAUUGGGUAUUUUGUGGUACCUGGAUAGAUGAGGGUCAUGGGAUGCUGAAUUAGAGUGGCAGGAGUGUUCUAAGCAAUUGGGGGAAGUGAUCGGAAAAGAAAUCUAGAUUCUUGACACAAUCUCAAUUUUCUUCUGUAAAAUGGAGAAAAACAGUAAAGGGUAGGUAGGCCACCACUGCUUUCUCCGUGGCCUUUUUGACAAGAACUGAUACAAAGUUUAUUGUUAACGAAUUUCCUUUCAGGAGAAGAUUGAUAGCUACUGACCCUUGGAAUUCAGUGCUCAAGGGUCACUUUUAAAGAGGUUUGAGACACACUAGAUUAUAAACUUAUUUGUAUACCUAUUGUCUGUUCCCUGGUAGAAUGUAAGCUUCACAAGGACAGGCAUAUCUGUUGAAUCACAAUGAAGAGGGUUGUGGUGAGGAUUAAGUAAUGCAUGUAAAGCUGACCUUGGGCAUUGCUUAACUAAACGUAAGAUAGAGCUCACUUACAGCCAAUGUGAGUAGCAGGUUUGAACUUUGGCACUGGUUGUUGUCAGAUGUAAAUUUCCAAAAACUUAUGAAUAAAGUUGAUUAUAUGCCAUUUUGGAGUUCUGAUCAUGGCUUACUUUGUUUCCCUUUUCAAGUAUUCGGGUACAUUAGAAACCUUAAUGCAUACAUGCAAAUCUACUUAUUCAGCCCUUGUUUCACACCAUUGAGUUCUAACAAAGUUAGGAGGAAAAGUUGUGAAAUGAGAGUGUAGUAAUUGGAAUGUUAGAAAAUGUCUCUUGGAAGGAUAAGGUCUUCUGUCAACUGGCAUGAGUGAUUUUCAGGUGUGUUUAGCCACACAAUAUUGCGUUAAAGGAUAUGCACCUUUUCUGCUUCCUUAUGUAAAGUUUGUAGGGCAUGAAAAGUUACAGAAAAUAGUUGCAAAAUUAUUAAUGGACACAUUUUUGAUACUUGGAUCUUAAGUUAUUUUGUAGGAGGGAUACUCUCUUUCCAUCAUUUUGUAACAGAUGGAGCACAAGAUACAUUAGUUGGCAAAAGAGUUUAUUAGCCAACUGAAAAUCCUCAGAUAUUUUAACAUUUCAUUGAAUUAUUUAUCAACAUUUACCAAGACUCAAUGAAAGAUGCCAGAAAGCAGGGGCCAUUGUAAUCAAUUCUGUUAGAAUUAACAGUAAUCCUUUGAAUGAUAUUUGUUACAAUGAUAAAUGAUUUGAACACCUUAAUCUACAAAUAGAAUUAAGAUGGGAGACAGCUUCAAGAAGCACUUGAAUUGUGUUCCACCAGACUACCAAAUAGGGGAGACUUAUCAAGGCAAAAACGGCAAGGUCACAGUUGUUACAUAACUUGUUUAUCAAGAAUUAUAGUGGGAGCUGGCAGGAAGUAAGGGUGCUUGUUAAAUAAGGAUUGAUUGGGGUCUGAAAUGGUUGCAUGGUUACACGGGGGAACAACCUUGAGAUAAGGUUGCAGCUAGCAGAUGGUUUAAAAAUGGCUGGUGGGAAAGAAGAUAUACAGAUUGCCAACAAACAGAUGGAAGGAUGCUCAACAUCACUAAUCAUUAGAGAAAUGCAAAUCAAAACUACAAUGAUGACUUCCCUGGUGGCGUAGUGGUUAAGAAUCCGCCUGCCGAGGCAGGGGACACGGGUUCGAGCCCUGGUCCGGGAAGGUCCCACAUGCUGCGGAGCAACUAAGCCCGUGCACCACAACUACUGAGCCUGAACCCUAGAGCCGGAGAGCCACAACUACUGAGGCCCGCGCACCUAGAGCCCGUGCUUCACAGCAAGAGAAACCACCUCAGAGAGAAGCUCGCGCAGCACAACAAAGAGUAGCCCCCACUCGCUGCAACUGGAGAAAGCCUGUGCACAGCAACGAAGACCCAAUGCAACUAAAAAUAAAUAAAUAAAAAUUAAAAAAAAAAACAAAACGACAAUGAGUUA